Molecule: unclassified non-coding RNA, 372 nt
Filed under: Hevea brasiliensis (rubber tree)
Lineage: Eukaryota; Viridiplantae; Streptophyta; Magnoliopsida; Malpighiales; Euphorbiaceae
Source: RNAcentral
UGAACUGUCCUUUUUCGAACCGCCAUUUAAACCGUUUUAAACUGUGACUCGAACCGAAACCGUAGGUUCAGGAACUGUAGGUUCAAGAACCGUCUUCCAAACUGUCUCCUAGCAGUUUGAUUCAGGUUCAUAAUUUUAUUGAACCUAAAUCGACGGUUCAGGAUUCGUAACCGGCGGUUCCUGAACCAUGACCACCCCAAGUAAAAGGAUGAUUAAGAAACAAUAAUUUUAUAACAAAAAAUCAUAUUUUUUCAAGAAUAAUCUUUUCAAAUGAGGAGAUAAAUUAUUAUAUAUAUAAUGAAACCAUAGCAAAAAAUGAUUCACAUAAAGGGUUGGAGAAUUUGAUUAACUUUUUUUAUCUAAAUAACUCGA